GCUGGCAGCUAGCUCUCUGCAACUCUCACAUGGCCGCCCACUGAAGCUAAACAGGGCUGUGCCCGGUCAGUACCUAAAUGGGAGACCACAUGGGAAAGCUAGGUUGCUGCCGGAA
Danio rerio (zebrafish) is the source of this 115-nucleotide non-coding RNA. Lineage: Eukaryota; Metazoa; Chordata; Actinopteri; Cypriniformes; Danionidae. The record is from Rfam.